This 252-nucleotide ribosomal RNA is filed under the name uncultured bacterium. Its description in RNAcentral is "partial 16S ribosomal RNA". It matches the Rfam family "Bacterial small subunit ribosomal RNA", at positions 525 to 776 of the family's 1533-position model. The record is from RNAcentral.
ACGGAGGGUGCAAGCGUUAAUCGGAAUUACUGGGCGUAAAGCGCGCGUAGGCGGCUUGUUAAGCCAGAUGUGAAAGCCCCGGGCUCAACCUGGGAACUGCAUUUGGAACUGGCAAGCUAGAGUGUGUGAGAGGUGAGUGGAAUUUCCUGUGUAGCGGUGAAAUGCGUAGAUAUAGGAAGGAACAUCAGUGGCGAAGGCGACUCACUGGCACAACACUGACGCUGAGGUGCGAAAGCGUGGGUAGCAAACGGG